This 39-nucleotide unclassified non-coding RNA is filed under the name Dellaglioa algida. Its description in RNAcentral is "Lactobacillus algidus L19_leader". The record is from RNAcentral. Lineage: Bacteria; Bacillati; Bacillota; Bacilli; Lactobacillales; Lactobacillaceae.
ACGAUAUUCCGCUGGCAUAUAAAUGUGUAUGAAUUUCUG